ACUUUUUAAAGUCCAAAAGUGACAGAAGGGACUCAAAAUGGAGAAAAUUAGCGGCAUCUCAUCACAACAGCGGAAAUUAGAAAAGCGUUCCAGCAAAAAUUCAACGAAUCUGUGGAAAUAAUAGAGCGAAUAACCAAAAGAUAUUUCCAUUAUGCUGGAGACAGGAUCUCAAAACGGAAUAAAAGAAAUGUUUCACAGUCGUCUGCAUAAAUAUACUAUCUGUCAUAUUG
Rhagoletis zephyria (snowberry fruit fly) is the source of this 230-nucleotide long non-coding RNA. RefSeq lists it as uncharacterized. Lineage: Eukaryota; Metazoa; Arthropoda; Insecta; Diptera; Tephritidae. The record is from RefSeq and is a predicted model, not a curated record.